RNAcentral lists this ribosomal RNA (454 nucleotides) under uncultured Xanthobacter sp. RNAcentral describes it as "bacterial SSU rRNA". It matches the Rfam family "Bacterial small subunit ribosomal RNA", at positions 929 to 1382 of the family's 1533-position model. Lineage: Bacteria; Pseudomonadati; Pseudomonadota; Alphaproteobacteria; Hyphomicrobiales; Xanthobacteraceae. The record is from RNAcentral.
GCGGUGGAGCAUGUGGUUUAAUUCGAAGCAACGCGCAGAACCUUACCAGCCUUUGACAUGGCAGGACGAUUUUCAGAGAUGGAUCUCUUCCAGCAAUGGACCUGCACACAGGUGCUGCAUGGCUGUCGUCAGCUCGUGUCGUGAGAUGUUGGGUUAAGUCCCGCAACGAGCGCAACCCUCGCCUUUAGUUGCCAUCAUUCAGUUGGGCACUCUAAAGGGACUGCCGGUGAUAAGCCGCGAGGAAGGUGGGGAUGACGUCAAGUCCUCAUGGCCCUUACGGGCUGGGCUACACACGUGCUACAAUGGCGGUGACAGUGGGAUGCAAAGGGGCGACCCCUCGCAAAUCUCAAAAAGCCGUCUCAGUUCGGAUUGUACUCUGCAACUCGAGUGCAUGAAGUUGGAAUCGCUAGUAAUCGUGGAUCAGCAUGCCACGGUGAAUACGUUCCCGGGCCUU